AUUGAACGCUGGCGGCAGGCCUAACACAUGCAAGUCGAGCGGAUGAAGUGAGCUUGCUCCUGGAUUCAGCGGCGGACGUGUGAGUAAUGCCUAGGAAUCUGCCUGGUAGUGGGGGAUAACGUCCGGAAACGGGCGCUAAUACCGCCUACGUCCUGAGGGAGAUAUUGGGUGAUUUUCGUACCUCACGCUAUCAGUUGUGCCUAUGUCGGAUUAGCUAGUUGUUGGGUUAAUGGCCUUCCACGGCGACGAUCCGUAACUGGUCUUAGAGGAUGAUUACUCGCAUUGGAACUGAGACAAGGUCCAGACUACUACGGGAGGCAGCAGUGGGGAAUAUUGGACAAUGGGCGAAAGUCUGAGCCAGUGAUGGCGCGAGUGUGAAGAAGGUCGUCGGAGUGGAAAGCACUAUAAGGUGGGGGGAAGGGCAGUAAGUUGAUACCGGGCUGAUUUGACGUGACGAGCAGAAUAAGCACAGGAUAACUUCGUG
RNAcentral lists this ribosomal RNA (484 nucleotides) under uncultured bacterium. Its description in RNAcentral is "partial 16S ribosomal RNA". It matches the Rfam family "Bacterial small subunit ribosomal RNA", at positions 30 to 507 of the family's 1533-position model. The record is from RNAcentral.